UCAGCCCAUACAGCCAUUGUUUUCAGUAAUAUUUUCUUAUAUUAUUUUUUUUCUAAUAAUUGUCUUCAGAAGUUACAAAUCUUGAUCUGUGGUUUUUUUUAUUUUUGAAACAUGUCACAAAGUACAUUGAUUUGUUGACUUACGUUUGUCAAUGUCAGUCAGUAAUUCUAUUUAUUUUUUCAAAACCUAACCUAUUAACACCGAAUAAAAUGAAGUAACAAUUUUUAAUUUUCUGAUCCUUUGUAACUAGUUCUUUCUAUUUUAGAACCAUGGGCGAGUUAAUAAAAAAAAAUACGGAUUGGGAUUCUAAUAAGGGCUUACGAGAGCCUAUAAAGAAUAUAGAGGACAAAUGGAAACUUGUUCCAUCAUUUUUGCAAGUAAAAGGAUUAGUGAAACAACAUAUUGACUCAUUCAAUUAUUUCAUAAAUGUGGAAAUAAAAAAAAUUGUGCAGGCCAAUGAAAAAGUGUUUUGUGAUGCAGACCCAUUAUUUUACAUUAAAUAUCUGAAUGCAUAUGUUGGUAAGCCAGAUCUUGAAGAAGGUUUUAAUGUAACAAAACCAACUACGCCCCAUGAAUGUCGGCUAAGAGAUAUGACUUAUUCAGCUCCUAUUACUGUUGAUAUAGAGUAUAUCAGAGGUAAUCAACGUGUAAUAAAAAUAAACAAUUGAUUGGACGGAUGCCUCUGAUGUUAAGAUCAUCAAAUUGUGUACUAACGAAUAAAGGUGAUUUUGAAUUGGCACAGUUAAAUGAGUGUCCCCAUGACCCUGGUGGUUACUUCAUUAUUAGAGGACAAGAAAAAGUAAUUUUAAUUCAGGAACAAUUAUCCAGAAAUCGUAUGAUUGUUGAUGAAUUUAAGGGCUCCAUCCAGUGUCAAGUCACUAGUUCUACCCACGAGAAGAAAACUAGAACAAAUGUUAUAGUCAAAAAUGGAAAAUAUGUUCUACGUCAUAAUGCUCUCUCUGAUGUAAGUUUUUAAGGUUUCAGUUAAUUUGCUUUUAAUUUUAUGAAUUAAUAAACAGUAUUUUAUAGGUAUAUGAAAUGAAAUAU
Molecule: RNA transcript, 1047 nt
Organism: Achroia grisella
Lineage: Eukaryota; Metazoa; Arthropoda; Insecta; Lepidoptera; Pyralidae
Gene name: DNA-directed RNA polymerase III subunit RPC2-like
Exons: 4
Source: RefSeq, a predicted model, not a curated record